UUUAUGGAGAGUUUGAUCCUGGCUCAGGAUGAACGCUGGCGGCGUGCCUAAUACAUGCAAGUCGAGCGAACGGACGAGAAGCUUGCUUCUCUGAUGUUAGCGGCGGACGGGUGAGUAACACGUGGAUAACCUACCUAUAAGACUGGGAUAACUUCGGGAAACCGGAGCUAAUACCGGAUAAUAUUUUGAACCGCAUGGUUCAAAAGUGAAAGACGGUCUUGCUGUCACUUAUAGAUGGAUCCGCGCUGCAUUAGCUAGUUGGUAAGGUAACGGCUUACCAAGGCAACGAUGCAUAGCCGACCUGAGAGGGUGAUCGGCCACACUGGAACUGAGACACGGUCCAGACUCCUACGGGAGGCAGCAGUAGGGAAUCUUCCGCAAUGGGCGAAAGCCUGACGGAGCAACGCCGCGUGAGUGAUGAAGGUCUUCGGAUCGUAAAACUCUGUUAUUAGGGAAGAACAUAUGUGUAAGUAACUGUGCACAUCUUGACGGUACCUAAUCAGAAAGCCACGGCUAACUACGUGCCAGCAGCCGCGGUAAUACGUAGGUGGCAAGCGUUAUCCGGAAUUAUUGGGCGUAAAGCGCGCGUAGGCGGUUUUUUAAG
This 604-nucleotide ribosomal RNA is filed under the name Staphylococcus aureus. RNAcentral describes it as "bacterial SSU rRNA". It matches the Rfam family "Bacterial small subunit ribosomal RNA", at positions 1 to 587 of the family's 1533-position model. Lineage: Bacteria; Bacillati; Bacillota; Bacilli; Caryophanales; Staphylococcaceae. The record is from RNAcentral.